GUCCCCGUAGUUUAAUGGAUAAAACAGAAGCCUUCUAAGCUUCGGAUCCAAGUUCGAUUCUUGGCGGGGGCA
This 72-nucleotide transfer RNA is filed under the name Candidatus Lloydbacteria bacterium RIFCSPHIGHO2_02_FULL_50_11. Its description in RNAcentral is "tRNA-Arg". It matches the Rfam family "tRNA". From Rfam's summary of the family: Transfer RNA (tRNA) molecules are approximately 80 nucleotides in length. Their secondary structure includes four short double-helical elements and three loops (D, anti-codon, and T loops). The record is from RNAcentral. RNAcentral also lists the same sequence under 1 other name. Lineage: Bacteria; Candidatus Lloydiibacteriota.